CGGACGGGUGAGUAACGCGUGAGUAACCUGCCUUACACAAGGGGAUAGCCGUUGGAAACGACGAAUAAUACCCUAUGACAUAAACUCUUCGCAUGAGGAGCUUAUCAAAGAUUUAUCGGUGUAAGAUGGACUCGCGUCUGAUUAGCUAGUUGGUGAGGUAACGGCCCACCAAGGCGACGAUCAGUAGCCGGCUUGAGAGAGUGUACGGCCACAUUGGGACUGAGACACGGCCCAGACUCCUACGGGAGGCAGCAGUC
RNAcentral lists this ribosomal RNA (257 nucleotides) under uncultured Anaerococcus sp. Its description in RNAcentral is "partial 16S ribosomal RNA". It matches the Rfam family "Bacterial small subunit ribosomal RNA", at positions 99 to 355 of the family's 1533-position model. The record is from RNAcentral. Lineage: Bacteria; Bacillati; Bacillota; Tissierellia; Tissierellales; Peptoniphilaceae.